This is a long non-coding RNA of Pteropus alecto (black flying fox), 1691 nucleotides long. RefSeq lists it as uncharacterized. The record is from RefSeq and is a predicted model, not a curated record. Lineage: Eukaryota; Metazoa; Chordata; Mammalia; Chiroptera; Pteropodidae. The transcript is spliced from 3 exons.
GCUUCUUCUCGCGAGCCUUGCCACCAUCACUUUUCAGCCGCCCACGACCAGGAGCUAAGGUCUCGCGAGGCUUGGGUGUUGCGGCGGUAGGAGGAGGACGGAGAAGGACGGCGCUAAGCCACCGCUGCCUCCCUCGCUCACUCCCUCGCGCGCUCGCCCGCCCCCUCCCUCCCUCCCCUCCCUUCCCCGGCCCCGGCUCCGGCCCUGGCCCAUUUGCUGUUCAUUCUUCUACUGGGAGGAUGUCGGGCUCGUCUCUCCCCAGCGCCCUGGCCCUCUCGCUGUUGCUGGUCUCUGGCUCCCUUCUCCCAGGGCCAGGCGCGGCUCAGAACGAGGACACGUUGUGGGUAAAGGAGUCCUGGAGAAAACUGAGCAAGAGCAAGAGUACUGGAGCCCUAAGAAGGGGGUGAAGAAUCAGAGAACCUUGGAUAUAGAGGUAGACGGAAGGUGCUGUUUGCUUCAGUGGUUUGGCAGUUUUCUCUCCUUGAGUACAUUUUUAGAUGUGUAUUUGCUAUUGUGCAUUUCCUCUUUGGGUGAAGUGAAAUGAGUAACAGAAGACAUGUUAUCUAUGGCAGCUGUGCACAAAUGACAUGCCAAAUGUCAUGCAAGAGAUCUUAACAUAAUUAACCCAAAUAAAAAUUUAAAUGAAGAAAUAGUUUGCCUUGGAAUAAAGCAUUUUCUAAGAAGAUCAUAAGCCUCCAGUCUCUCAGGCAACUGACCAGAGUAUCACUACUGACAUAAUGGAGCACCCAGGCAUGAGAAACUUUUCAGGGAUCUGGAGUAGAAAGGCCGUGUUACUACAUCAGGACCUGUUGCUGGGCUCUUAGUCUUUGUUUUUCAAGGUUACUGGAUCCAAAUUAGAAAGAGAUGCAGAUGGGAUUUUAUGUUGCCAGACAUAAUAUAGCUUAACCUGUUAAUGUACCAAGGUUUAAAACAACAAAAGGAAAUAAAAGCCCUUAAAUAUAAAUGUACUCCACAGUCCAAACAUUUGCCAUAAAUUAGGAUUGAGGUUCAUUACAGGCCUUACUUUGUCUGAGUUAUACAAAUCUCCAUGAGAAAUUGGACUAUUUGGUCUUGAAAGAAUUCCUUUAUUUUUCUCAUUAAUUCAGUUUUUAUGUGAAAUAUUUUCUCUUGUGGAGUAUACCUUUAUAUAUUAAUAAAAAGCAAAAUGUUAUCCUAUUGUCUUUAUUUUUUACUAAAUAUAAAUUUAUUUAGUUUGAGGUACUUUUUCAAAAUAAGAUGUUUCAUAUGUAAAAUCUGAAACUUUGCCAGAUGUAUGUAAAAGUUUUUUUAACAAGAAUUUGGAAAGGAGAUAAGAUGCUAAUAUCUAUACAAAUGAAAUGUGUAGAAAAACAAUGAAUGACUAUAUUAAAUAUCACACAGAUGUUCAAUAAAAAUUUGAAUAAAGUUAUGCAAAGACAUUUUAGCAGAAGUAAAUUCUGUGAAAAAUUUUCUGAUGCAUUCUAUUUACAGUGAGAACACAAUCUGGACAGCAUCAGAAAUAGAGAAUGAAGUUGUAAGAGAAAAGGAAAAAGAAGAAAGUCUACAGUAGUACAAAGAGAAAAGCAGGAAGCAAAAAUGAGGAGCAUCUGGAAAAAUAGAAUCUAUCAGAAAGAGUAAAUAGAGAUCUUUCAAGUACAUUCACAUAUCAAAAUUAAAAUAAUAGUGCAAAAUCACCAUUGUGUGAACAAUUG